This 329-nucleotide unclassified non-coding RNA is filed under the name plant metagenome. RNAcentral describes it as "partial contains 5.8S ribosomal RNA, internal transcribed spacer 2, and large subunit ribosomal RNA". The stretch from base 1 to 105 matches the Rfam family "5.8S ribosomal RNA", at positions 50 to 154 of the family's 154-position model. The record is from RNAcentral.
GAAAUGCGAUAAGUAAUGUGAAUUGCAGAAUUCCGUGAAUCAUCGAAUCUUUGAACGCACAUUGCGCCCUCUGGUAUUCCGGGGGGCAUGCCUGUCCGAGCGUCAUUGCGAACCCCUCAAGCACGGCUUGUGUGAUGGGCCCUCCCGCGUCUUGGUCGUCAAGAUGGGCCCGAAAUGCAGUGGCGGCUUCGCGGUUAUCCGAUCAGCCAGAGCGUAUGGGGACUUUCUCUCUGUCACACGCCCGCGGCGCGGACCGACGCCUGUCGACCUUUAUUCAUCUUUUUCUCGGUUGACCUCGGAUCAGGUAGGGAUACCCGCUGAACUUAAGC